CCUACGGGAGGCAGCAGUGAGGAAUAUUGGUCAAUGGGCGAGAGCCUGAACCAGCCAAGUAGCGUGAAGGAUGACUGCCCUACGGGUUGUAAACUUCUUUUAUAAGGGAAUAAAGUGAGGCACGUGUGCCUUUUUGUAUGUACUUUAUGAAUAAGCAUCGGCUAAUGCCGUGCCAGCAGCCGCGGUAAUACGGAGGAUCCGAGCGUUAUCCGGAUUUAUUGGGUUUAAAGGGAGCGUAGAUGGGUUGUUAAGUCAGUUGUGAAAGUUUGGGGCUCAACCGGAAAAUUGCAUUUGAUACUGGCAGUCUGGAGUACAGUUGAGGUAGACGGAAUUCGUGGUGUAGCGGUGAAAUGCUUAGAUAUCACGAAGAACUCCGAUUGCGAAGGCAGCUUACUGGACUGCCACUGACACUGAUGCUCGAAAGUGUGGGUAUCAAACAGGAUUAGAUACCCUAGUAGUC
This 460-nucleotide ribosomal RNA is filed under the name uncultured bacterium. RNAcentral describes it as "partial 16S ribosomal RNA". It matches the Rfam family "Bacterial small subunit ribosomal RNA", at positions 338 to 795 of the family's 1533-position model. The record is from RNAcentral.